CCGCCCAUGAAAUGGAGCCCUCCACAUUCAGGGGGAUUCUUCUCUACUCAGUUGAACUUCUGUGGAAAUACCCUCACAGAUGUAUCUAGAGAUUUACUGUUGAAGUUAAAGCCUGUGAGAGGUUCCCAGCGAUGCUUCAAAAGGUCCCUGUGCACCAUCACCAGCUUCAUUACAAAUAUCAGGACACAAGGCAGAUUGAGAGAUAAACUUAGGUCCACCCUCUGCAAUCCACCAGUGAGGAGAUCCACACAACCAUGGAAGGAUCAACUGAGAGAAUGUCUACAAAUCACCUAGGAGAAAAAGCAGCACAAGCCGGGAAGGUCAACUCUGCUGAAUCAUUGCCUUUCUUCUGUAGCUCUGGUCCUUCUGCUGAGGAGUGCAGACUUUGGAAGAAAGCACACUUUGCUCAGUCCUCAAAGCUACCAAGACUCAUCCCUUCAAGCCUACAGAGCCAUGUUCCCAAAGGGCAAUUGCCACACAAGAAUAUAUGGAGGCAUCUGUCAUUAUUCUAUGUCUUCCCCACUUGCAAAGGAAAGAUUAGUUUUCUCUAGUGGUGCUCACUUCAGAGUACCUAACAGUGGACAACCAACCCAGAAAGCUCCCAAAGGGAUUUUUGUAGACUUUUGCUCUCAUAGAACUUUGAUUGGCCACUUUCUGUCUAUUAGUCUUAUAUAUUAUGGUUUCUGAUUUUGUGUUUGUGUCUGUGAGUUUCUUUUUUGUUGUUUUAUUUGUUUACUGUUUUAUUUUAAGAGAGAGAAAGGGUAUAGAAUUGGGGAGGAUCUGGGUGGAACUGGGUAAUAUACUUGUAUCAGAAUAUACUUUAUAAUUUUUAAAUUAAAAAUAAUGAACAAAC
This 853-nucleotide long non-coding RNA is filed under the name Rattus norvegicus (Norway rat). RNAcentral's name for it is "long non-coding RNA NONRATT003638". Lineage: Eukaryota; Metazoa; Chordata; Mammalia; Rodentia; Muridae. The record is from RNAcentral.